Molecule: ribosomal RNA, 638 nt
Filed under: Trichoderma harzianum
Lineage: Eukaryota; Fungi; Ascomycota; Sordariomycetes; Hypocreales; Hypocreaceae
Description: partial 18S ribosomal RNA
Rfam family: 5.8S ribosomal RNA (bases 282-435)
Source: RNAcentral
GCCAACCGACCCGUAACCCUUUUUUUUGAAAAAAAAAAAUGAACAAGGUCUCCGUUGGUGAACCAGCGGAGGGAUCAUUACCGAGUUUACAACUCCCAAACCCAAUGUGAACGUUACCAAACUGUUGCCUCGGCGGGAUCUCUGCCCCGGGUGCGUCGCAGCCCCGGACCAAGGCGCCCGCCGGAGGACCAACCAAAACUCUUAUUGUAUACCCCCUCGCGGGUUUUUUUAUAAUCUGAGCCUUCUCGGCGCCUCUCGUAGGCGUUUCGAAAAUGAAUCAAAACUUUCAACAACGGAUCUCUUGGUUCUGGCAUCGAUGAAGAACGCAGCGAAAUGCGAUAAGUAAUGUGAAUUGCAGAAUUCAGUGAAUCAUCGAAUCUUUGAACGCACAUUGCGCCCGCCAGUAUUCUGGCGGGCAUGCCUGUCCGAGCGUCAUUUCAACCCUCGAACCCCUCCGGGGGGUCGGCGUUGGGGAUCGGCCCUGCCUUGGCGGUGGCCGUCUCCGAAAUACAGUGGCGGUCUCGCCGCAGCCUCUCCUGCGCAGUAGUUUGCACACUCGCAUCGGGAGCGCGGCGCGUCCACAGCCGUUAAACACCCAACUUCUGAAAUGUGACCUCGGAUCAGGUAGAAUCCCCCAA